UGGGGAAUUUUGGACAAUGGACGAAAGUCUGAUCCAGCGACGCCGCGUGGAGGACGAAGGUUUUCGGAUCGUAAACUCCUUUUACAGGGGACGAAAGCGGGCAACCGUUUGACGGUACUCUGUGAAUAAGCCACGGCUAACUACGUGCCAGCAGCCGCGGUAAUACGUAGGUGGCGAGCGUUACUCGGAAUUACUGGGCGUAAAGCGCGUGUAGGCGGGAACUUAAGUCUGUUGUGAAAACUCAAAGCUUAACCCUGAAAUGUCAACAGAAACUAGAUUUCUUGAGUGCGGUAGAGGAGAUCGGAAUUCCAGGUGUAGCGGUGAAAUGCGUAGAUAUCUGGAAGAACGCCAAAGGCGAAGGCAGAUCUCUGGGCCGUUACUGACGCUGAGACGCGAAAGCUAGGGGAGCAAACAGG
This 416-nucleotide ribosomal RNA is filed under the name uncultured bacterium. RNAcentral's name for it is "bacterial SSU rRNA". It matches the Rfam family "Bacterial small subunit ribosomal RNA", at positions 355 to 776 of the family's 1533-position model. The record is from RNAcentral.